This 1477-nucleotide long non-coding RNA is filed under the name Lathyrus oleraceus (garden pea). RNAcentral describes it as "Pisum sativum (pea) long non-coding RNA (PSAT_LNC030841)". Lineage: Eukaryota; Viridiplantae; Streptophyta; Magnoliopsida; Fabales; Fabaceae. The record is from RNAcentral.
ACAUUUUAUGUUCUUUAGAAUAUAAGUUUAUAUUUAAUAAAUUUUGAUGUUCAAUACAUAUCAUUCUAAACUAAUUAAUGUCAAGGUUUGUUACUCAUUACAUGUUUGAUUGAUUUAUAUAAUCGAGGAUGUACUUAAUAGAAAUAUUUAGCUUACAUUAUUUAAUAGAAAUCUCUGGUUCAUAAUCACUUUAUGAUUGUAUAAACAAAAUACAAAUGGUAAAUAAAUAUGUACUACUGAAAAAUUGUCAUGUUCUCCUUUUUUUCUAUCUUUUAUGAGUAGUUUUCUUUCUUAUCUAUCAAAUGUACAAAUCAAGUGAUUUCUGAUAUAGGUUGAUCUUUUGAUAGUUACACAUCUCUAACUCUCUCAUUUUGUCAAUCUAUUCAUCUGUGUUUCUUCUUAUUUUCAAUUUUAUUCUUGCGUCACCCAUGAUUAUGUUAGGGUUUUCGUAUUAUUUUGAUGAGAUUUAGAUGGUUGUUAGGAUUAUAAGGAUCUCGAAAUAAUAAAGAUGGUGCUAAUGUAACACUGGAAAAAUGAUUGAGUUGGUUUCCUUUAUAACAUACGGUCACAUUUUCAUUUUCUUGUAAUUAUUCUAUUUUCAUUUUUUCUUUUUCAUUUUCUUGUAAUUAUUCUUUUUUCUUUUUUUCUUUUUCAUUUUCUACUUAUAAUUAGUAUUUUAGCAUAUUUUUUAAUCUACAUAACUUAUGUUAAUUGUUUAAUUAUCAGAAUAUAGAAGAUGACAUUUUAUGUUCUUUAGGAUAUAAGUAUAUAUUUAAUAAAUUUUGAUGUUCAAUACAUAUCUUUCUAAACUAAUUAAUGUCAAGGUUUGUUACUCAUUACAUGUUUGAUUGAUUUAUAUAAUUGAGGUUGUACUUAAUAUAAAUAUUUACUUUACAAUACUUAAUAGAAAACUCUGGUUCAUAAUCACUUUAUGAUUGUAUAAACAAAAUAAAAAGGGUAAAAAAAUACGUACUGCUGAAAAAUUGUCAUAUUUUCCUUUUUUUUCUAUCUUUUAUGAGUAAUUUUCUUUCUUAUCUAUCAAAUGUACAAAUCAAGUGAUUUCUGAUAUAGGUUGAUCUUUUGAUGGUUACACAUCUCUAACUCUCUCAUUUUGUCAAUCCAUUCAUCUGUGUUUCCUCUUAUUUUAAAUUUUAUUCUUGCAUCACCAAUGAUUAUGAUAGGGUUUUUCGUAUUGUUUUGAUGAGAUUGAGAUGUUUGUUAGGAUUAUGAGGAUCUCACAAUAAUAAAGGUGGUGCUAAUGUAACACUGGAAACAUGAUUGAGUUGGUUUCCUUUAUAACAUACGGUCUCAUUUUCAUUUUCUUGUAAUUAUUCUAUUUUCUUUUUUUCUUUUUCAUUUUCUUGUAAUUAUUCUUUUUUCUUUAUUCCUUUUUCAUUUUUUACAUAUAAUUAGUAUUUUUGCAUAUUUUAAUCCAUAUAACUUAUGUUAAUUGUUUAAUUAUCAGAAUAUAGAAGAU